Molecule: transfer RNA, 97 nt
Filed under: Bacillus benzoevorans
Lineage: Bacteria; Bacillati; Bacillota; Bacilli; Caryophanales; Bacillaceae
Description: tRNA-Sec
Rfam family: Selenocysteine transfer RNA
Source: RNAcentral
GGGGUCGAAUGGGGUACUGGUGUCCCCCGCGGUCUUCAAAACCGUUUGUGACCUGCGUGCCAGGUUAGCUGGGUUCGAUUCCCAGGCGGUCCCGCCA